This is a long non-coding RNA of Salvia miltiorrhiza (redroot sage), 2171 nucleotides long. RefSeq lists it as uncharacterized. The transcript is spliced from 2 exons. The record is from RefSeq and is a predicted model, not a curated record. NCBI's taxonomy places the organism in Eukaryota, Viridiplantae, Streptophyta, Magnoliopsida, Lamiales, Lamiaceae.
UAUAGUAAUCAUAAACAACAAAUUGAAGUAUUGGUUAUUUCUCUCUCUCUUUGUGUAGAAGAGACAAAAUGAUACGAAGUUUUAAAUUCGUGUUGUCGUCUCACACUAAAAUAAGGAGUGAAGAAAACGGCGUUGAUCCAGACGAUGGAAAUUCUUGGAUGUGCAGUGCUUGUACGCUCCCAAUCUUCUCCACGCCCUUCAACAGAAUCAACACCAAACACGGUCAACUACUCCUGCACGAUCAAUGCGCUAAUCUCCCCAAGAUUUUGAUGGAUAAUGCGUUUCACCCCGGCGGGCCCCUCGUGCUCAAGGAAACUGGAUUCACCAUCAACAGAAUUUUGCGAUGGAUGUAGUGAAAAAUGCGGGAGUAUGUUCUAUCAAUGUCUUGAUUCUUCUUUGUGAUGUUCAACUCGACGUGUUGUGCAGUUUGCAGAUCAAAAUCUUGCACAGGAGCCACGAGCACAGGUUGACAGCGGUUAUAAGGGGCCCGGCUGCCUUCAGAUGCAGCGCGUGUGGAACGCAACAUGCAGGCCUAUUGUCUCCGUCGUAUCUGUGCACUCCUUGUGGUUUCUGGAUUCAUAAAGAUUGCGCUUCCUCACCUAAUGCUAUCCGACUAGUGCAACCGCAGCAGCAUCAGCAUUCUCUUUUUCUCACCUAUAAUAUUAAUGUAGCUGCUACUUCUGCUGGAGAUUGCAAAUGUGCAGUCUGUGGAAAAUAAUCUCGCGUGGAUUGGGUGCAUAUAUCUGUUACAAGUGUAAAUAUUAUGCUCAUAUUAGGUGCGCAACGUGGGAUCCUCGCUGUUUUGAGCCAGUGUUAAUUCGAGAUGCAAAGCUGGCCAACCUGCUCCAUCUUUCCGAUGCCAGAUGAACGCACAAGCAUCGUGCGCUAUAUGUUGGAGAAUGAAGAAUAUGAGGAUGCUGAUUCCGUAGAUGGACAUCAACUUCCAGUAAUCUUUCGUCAUCAUAAAGAAGAAUAUGGUGAUUAUGGACUAUGAGGAGGAGGAGGUUGGUAAUCCCAAAUACGGAUAUGAUCAAAGAUUACAUAAACAUCCGUUGAUCUUUCAUGAUGAAGAGGAUAGUGGUGAAGCUGAUGAUGAUGAAGACGACGAUGAUGGCACAGGGCAUUCUUCAUCCCGUGUAUGCAAUGCGUGUGUUCAGUUCAUUUCCCCUCCAUUCUACAGCUGUUCCCAAUGUCCGGAUUUUCUUUCUCCACGACUCUUGUUUCAAUCUUCCAGCCAAAAUCAAGCACCCCUUUCAUCCAGACCACAACCCUUUCCCUCUUCACAAAAAGCACCCAACAAAGAUUAUGAUGAAGGCUUCUUCUGCUAUGGUUGCUGGAUGCUGUGCUCUGGAUUCGCCUACUGCUGCAAAACUUGCAAAGACGUCAGCAUGGAUGUUUUGUGCGCACUAAUGCCCUGCCUCAAUCACCCCACGCCUCUCCGGGAAGACGCACAUUCUUUACAAUGUCGCGUUUUUCAGGCACAUGUAGCUGCUGCUGCAGCAACGACUUGCAAAUAGAAUGUUCUAUGAGUGCAGCAAUUGUCGUCAUCUAAAAACUACAUUCUCGCUGCGCUUUGCUUCCCUACUACCAUUAGCCACAAAUUUGAUGCACACCCUCUCACCUAACCACCUCAACUAAGUUAACCACCGAUGAUGAUGAGAUGAUACCCAACAAAUUUGUGAGGUUGUGAAGAGGAUAUCGAUAAAAGGUGUUGGAACUACAGCUGCAACGACUGCGAGCAGUGGCUUCACAUCAACUGCAUUCCCUUUUCUGGAUCGUCGUGUUUCUAGGGUCAAGUUUGGGGUCGGUAGUGUUGGUUUCAAAUGCCAUGACUGCCCCUCACUGGUGUCCGAGAGAGUACACUUGCAGGUUAUCGCUGCGACUGUUGUAAGUCCAAAUUCAGGUAUGAAGACUAUAGGAAGAACAUCGCGCAUAUGAAAUGCUCCAAGUGUUGUUAUAAGAUUACAUGAGACCUGCGCAUGUCUGAGAUUCCGUGAUAAACUUUAGCUGUUUCAAAGAAAUAACAAGUUUCUUCAUAUCCACAGUUUAGUUGCAAGUUUUAUUGUAUUCAUGGUGUUGAUGCAGCCUCUCAUUACAGACAGUGAUGUAUCAGAAUAAUGUGUAUACAGCUUGUUCCUUUUAUAUAUGAAACGUUACAAAUUAUGUUUUCC